UACAGAGGGGGCAAGCGUUAUUCGGAAUUAUUGGGCGUAAAGGGCGCGUAGGCGGCCUGGCAAGUGGAUGGUGAAAUCCCUCGGCUUAACCGAGGAACUGCCAUCCAGACUGCUUGGCUUGAGACCGGAAGAGGAGAGCGGAAUUCCCGGUGUAGCGGUGAAAUGCGUAGAGAUCGGGAGGAAGGCCGGUGGCGAAGGCGGCUCUCUGGGACGUCCCUGACACUGAGGCGCGAAAGCAUGGGGAGCGAACAGG
This 253-nucleotide ribosomal RNA is filed under the name uncultured bacterium. RNAcentral describes it as "partial 16S ribosomal RNA". It matches the Rfam family "Bacterial small subunit ribosomal RNA", at positions 524 to 776 of the family's 1533-position model. The record is from RNAcentral.